This is a long non-coding RNA of Amphiprion ocellaris (clown anemonefish), 613 nucleotides long. The record is from Ensembl. Lineage: Eukaryota; Metazoa; Chordata; Actinopteri; Pomacentridae.
CAAGUAUCAGUUGGUCAUAAGUUAAGGUGAGCAUGCCACAGCAGAGCGAGGAGCGUGGUCCUGAGGGGCAGGAGGAAAAAGGUUCCUCUCUAUCUCCCUACACAUCCACCAACCACUGGAAGACAUCUCCAAAGUUCUGCCGGGCCAGCUCAGCUUCCCCUCAGAAGAAGUGCCGCCACCUGCCAGAUGAAGGAGCCUUUUGAGAGGCAGCUGGCAUCGUGAUUGGACUGUACUUUGGUCUGUUCCAAUCCAGCUUCAGGUCCAGAGACGGCAGGCGGGACGAGUCAACGGAGGCUGGGUGGACGAAGGCAUGCAGCUGAGUACGAUCCAGAAAACAACAGAGGACGAGUGUAGCGGCCCAGGGCCAGAACAAACAGAGUAGCAUCGUAUGACUCUUAGAAAACAUCAUAGUAUAGCCUUUGGUAUGAAAAAACGCCAUCAUAUACAUCGUAUAUUGUACAAAUAACAAGUCAAAGGAAAGAGACAUACAUUGUAGAAUUGUAGUAAUUGUGGGCUGACUGAUUUACUGAUUAUCAAUAUUUUAUUUUUUACUGAUUUACAGUAAUAAAUACAUUUAAAAAUGGUGCUACUUUGGCUCUGAACCUUAAUCUAC